RNAcentral lists this ribosomal RNA (467 nucleotides) under uncultured Gallionellaceae bacterium. Its description in RNAcentral is "bacterial SSU rRNA". It matches the Rfam family "Bacterial small subunit ribosomal RNA", at positions 920 to 1382 of the family's 1533-position model. Lineage: Bacteria; Pseudomonadati; Pseudomonadota; Betaproteobacteria; Nitrosomonadales; Gallionellaceae. The record is from RNAcentral.
CCCGGACACAAGCAGCGGAGCAUGUGGUUUAAUUCGAAGCAACGCGAAGAACCUUACCAGGGCUUGACAUGCCGCUGACCGGUGCAGAGAUGCAUCUUUAUCCUUCGGGGUACAGCGGACACAGGUGCUGCAUGGCUGUCGUCAGCUCGUGUCGUGAGAUGUUGGGUUAAGUCCCGCAACGAGCGCAACCCUUGUCAUUAAUUGCCAUCAUUCAGUUGGGCACUUUAAUGAGACUGCCGGUGACAAACCGGAGGAAGGUGGGGAUGACGUCAAGUCCUCAUGGCCCUUAUGGGUAGGGCUUCACACGUAAUACAAUGGUCGGUACAGAGGGUUGCCAACCCGCGAGGGGGAGCCAAUCCCAGAAAACCGAUCGUAGUCCGGAUUGCAGUCUGCAACUCGACUGCAUGAAGUCGGAAUCGCUAGUAAUCGCGGAUCAGCAUGUCGCGGUGAAUACGUUCCCGGGCCUU